CUUCUUUAUCUAUAGGGAGUGGAGCUAUUAUAUAAACAAUACAUACCCCGGAGCCUCAAAACUCAGUGGUGGAUGUCUGACAGCACAAUGAAAGUUCUCAUACUGAUCGUUCUUGUUUUGUCACUGGUUGUCUUGGCAACAACAGCUCCUGCCAUGGAGAGAAGCUUUUGGGCGACAUUAUCGACAAGGUGGUACCUCACCCGGAUUGUAAAACUAUCACCUGUCUUGUGCCACCAUGCCCGUGUCUCAUUUUGGGAUGACCUGAUAUACAAGGCAAUUAAACGUAAUACGACUCUUACGUGUUACAGCUCAUUC
This is a long non-coding RNA of Haliotis rubra (blacklip abalone), 315 nucleotides long. RefSeq lists it as uncharacterized. The record is from RefSeq and is a predicted model, not a curated record. The transcript has 3 exons. NCBI's taxonomy places the organism in Eukaryota, Metazoa, Mollusca, Gastropoda, Lepetellida, Haliotidae.